This 247-nucleotide ribosomal RNA is filed under the name uncultured bacterium. Its description in RNAcentral is "partial 16S ribosomal RNA". It matches the Rfam family "Bacterial small subunit ribosomal RNA", at positions 523 to 769 of the family's 1533-position model. The record is from RNAcentral.
AUACGUAGGUGGCAAGCGUUGUCCGGAUUUACUGGGUGUAAAGGGCGUGCAGCCGGGCUGACAAGUCAGAUGUGAAAUCCCGAGGCUUAACCUCGGAACUGCAUUUGAAACUGUUGGUCUUGAGUAUCGGAGAGGUCAUCGGAAUUCCUUGUGUAGCGGUGAAAUGCGUAGAUAUAAGGAAGAACACCAGUGGCGAAGGCGGAUGACUGGACGACAACUGACGGUGAGGCGCGAAAGCGUGGGGAGC